Molecule: ribosomal RNA, 369 nt
Filed under: uncultured bacterium
Lineage: Bacteria
Description: bacterial SSU rRNA
Rfam family: Bacterial small subunit ribosomal RNA
Source: RNAcentral
UCUGCCCUUCACUCUGGGAUAACCCUCGGAAACGAGAGCUAAUACCGGAUACGACCACUUCAGGCAUCUGAUGGUGGUGGAAAGUUCCGGCGGUGAAGGAUGAGCUCGCGGCCUAUCAGCUUGUUGGUGAGGUAAUGGCUCACCAAGGCUUCGACGGGUAGCCGGCCUGAGAGGGUGACCGGCCACACUGGGACUGAGACACGGCCCAGACUCCUACGGGAGGCAGCAGUGGGGAAUAUUGGACAAUGGGCGAAAGCCUGAUCCAGCAACGCCGCGUGAGGGAUGACGGCCUUCGGGUUGUAAACCUCUUUCAGCAGGGACGAAGCGCAAGUGACGGUACCUGCAGAAGAAGCACCGGCCAACUACGUG